UUAAGCUACUGGGCUCAUACCCCAUUUAUAAAGGUUCUAAUCCUUUUCUUUUUAAUUUUUAAUAAUUCAUCAAAAAUUAUAUUUUUAACUAUUUUAAUAAUAGGAUCUUUAAUUGCAAUUUCAGCAAACUCUUGAAUAGGAGCCUGAAUAGGUUUAGAAAUUAAUUUGUUAGCUUUUAUCCCCCUAAUAAGAGAUAAUAAAUUAAUAUCUACAGAAGCAUCUUUAAAGUACUUUUUAACUCAAGCACUAGCUUCUUCUGUAUUUUUAUUUGCAGUAAUUUUAUUUUUACUUAAUACUGGUAAAAAUAAUGCAAAUUUAAUAGAAAUAAUUAUUCUUUCUUCUUUAUUAUUAAAGAGAGGUUCUGCUCCUUUCCAUUUUUGAUUCCCUAAUGUAAUAGAAGGAUUAUCAUGAAUUAAUGCAUUAAUUUUAAUAACUUGACAAAAAAUUGCUCCGUUAAUAUUAAUUUCUUAUGUAAUUUUUAAGCCAUUAAUUAUUAUCAGAAUUAUUUUAUCAAGUUUAAUUGGUGCAUUAGGAGGUUUAAAUCAAACUUCUUUACGUAAAUUAAUAGCUUAUUCUUCAAUUAACCAUUUAGGAUGAAUGUUAGCUGCAAUAUAUAAUAGAAAUAUUUGACUAGUAUAUUUUUUAUUUUAUACAUUUUUAACAUUUUCAAUAGUGUUAAUAUUUAAUAUGUUUAAAAUUUCUUAUAUUAAUCAAUUAUUUUCUUUAUUUUUCCAUGAAAAAAGAAUUAAAUUUUUCUUAUUUUUUAAUCUUCUUUCAUUAGGAGGAUUACCCCCAUUUUUAGGGUUCUUACCAAAAAUAUUUGUAAUUCAAUCUUUAACUAUAAAUAAUCAAUUAUUUUUAUUAACUUUUAUAGUAAUAAUAACAUUAAUUACUUUAUAUUUUUAUAUUCGAUUAUGUUAUAGUGCUUUUAUACUAAACUAUUAUGAAAAUAGUUGAAUAACAUUUUCAUAUUAUAAGUCUUCAAAUAUAAAGCUUUUAUUAACUUUUUCUUAUAUUUCAACUUUUGGGUUAUUUUUAACUUCUUCCUUAUAUUUCUUUUUUUAAGGCUUUAAGUUAAAUAAACUAAUAGCCUUCAAAGCUAUCAAUAUAAGAAUAAUCUUUUAAGCCUUAGUAAAUUUAUUACUCCUUUAGAAUUGCAGUCUAAUGUCAUUAUUGACUAUAAAGCUAAUUGAUUAAAGAGAAAAAUUCUCAUAAAUAAAUUUACAAUCUAUUGCCUAAACUUCAGCCAUUUAAUCGCAACAAUGGUUAUUUUCUACUAAUCAUAAAGAUAUUGGUACUUUAUAUUUUAUCUUCGGAGCAUGAUCUGGUAUAGUAGGAACAUCAUUAAGAAUUUUAAUUCGAGCUGAAUUAGGACACCCUGGUGCUCUAAUUGGAGACGAUCAAAUUUAUAAUGUUAUUGUAACAGCUCAUGCUUUUAUUAUAAUUUUCUUUAUAGUAAUACCUAUUAUAAUUGGAGGGUUUGGAAAUUGAUUAGUUCCUUUAAUAUUAGGAGCUCCAGAUAUAGCAUUCCCUCGAAUGAAUAAUAUAAGUUUUUGAUUAUUACCUCCUGCAUUAACUCUAUUAUUAGUAAGAAGUAUAGUAGAAAAGGGAGCUGGAACAGGUUGAACUGUUUAUCCACCUUUAUCAUCAAUUAUUGCUCAUGGUGGAGCUUCAGUUGAUUUAGCUAUUUUCUCUCUUCACUUAGCAGGAAUUUCUUCAAUUUUAGGAGCAGUAAAUUUUAUUACAACUGUUAUUAACAUACGAUCAACAGGAAUUACAUUCGAUCGAAUGCCUUUAUUUGUUUGAUCAGUUGUAAUUACUGCAUUAUUAUUAUUAUUAUCUCUUCCUGUUCUUGCUGGAGCUAUUACUAUACUAUUAACUGAUCGAAAUUUAAAUACUUCAUUCUUUGACCCAGCUGGAGGAGGUGAUCCAAUUCUUUACCAACACUUAUUCUGAUUCUUUGGACAUCCAGAAGUUUAUAUUUUAAUUUUACCUGGAUUUGGAAUAAUUUCUCAUAUUAUUAGUCAAGAAUCAGGAAAGAAGGAAACAUUCGGUUCUUUAGGAAUAAUUUAUGCUAUGUUAGCAAUUGGACUUUUAGGAUUUAUUGUAUGAGCUCAUCACAUAUUUACUGUUGGAAUAGACGUUGAUACUCGAGCUUACUUCACUUCAGCUACAAUAAUUAUUGCUGUACCUACUGGAAUUAAGAUUUUUAGUUGAUUAGCUACAUUAUACGGAACUCAACUAACUUAUUCUCCAGCUAUUUUAUGAGCUUUAGGAUUCGUAUUCUUAUUUACUGUAGGAGGUUUAACAGGAGUAGUACUAGCUAACUCAUCUGUUGAUAUUAUUUUACAUGAUACAUAUUAUGUAGUUGCUCAUUUCCACUAUGUACUUUCUAUAGGAGCUGUAUUUGCUAUUAUAGCAGGAUUUGUACAUUGAUACCCUCUAUUUACUGGAUUAACUCUAAAUAAUAAACUUUUAAAAAGUCAAUUUGUUAUUAUAUUUAUUGGAGUAAAUUUAACAUUCUUUCCUCAACAUUUCUUAGGAUUAGCCGGAAUACCUCGACGAUAUUCUGAUUAUCCUGAUGCUUAUACAGCAUGAAAUGUAAUUUCAACAAUCGGUUCAACAAUUUCAUUAUUAGGAAUUUUAUAUUUAUUCUAUAUUAUCUGAGAAAGUUUAGUAUCUCAACGACAAGUAAUUUUCCCAAUUCAAUUAAAUUCAUCAAUUGAAUGAUUACAAAAUACUCCACCUGCUGAACACAGAUAUAAUGAAUUGCCUUUACUAACUAAUUUCUAAUAUGGCAGAUUAGUGCAAUGGAUUUAAGCUCCAUAUAUAAAGUAUUUUACUUUUAUUAGAAACUAAUGUCAACAUGAGCAAAUUUAGGUUUACAAGAUAGUUCUUCUCCAUUAAUAGAACAAUUAAUUUUUUUUCAUGAUCAUGCAUUAAUAAUUUUAGUAAUAAUUACAGUAUUAGUCGGAUAUUUAAUGUUUACAUUAUUUUUUAAUAAAUAUGUUAAUCGUUAUUUAUUACAUGGACAAACAAUUGAAAUUAUUUGAACUAUUUUACCUGCAAUUAUUUUAUUAUUCAUUGCUUUCCCUUCUUUACGAUUAUUAUACUUAUUAGAUGAAAUUAAUGAACCAUCAGUAACUUUAAAGGCUAUUGGUCAUCAAUGAUAUUGAAGUUAUGAAUAUUCAGAUUUUAAUAAUGUUGAAUUUGAUUCUUAUAUAAUUCCUACAAAUGAAUUACCAGUAGACGGAUUUCGUUUAUUAGAUGUAGAUAAUCGAGUAGUUUUACCAAUAAAUUCUCAAAUUCGAAUUUUAGUAACUGCUGCUGAUGUAAUUCAUUCAUGAACUGUUCCUGCUUUAGGUGUAAAGGUUGAUGGUACUCCUGGUCGUCUAAAUCAAACUAAUUUCUUAAUUAAUCGACCAGGUUUAUUCUAUGGACAAUGUUCAGAAAUUUGUGGAGCUAAUCAUAGUUUUAUACCAAUUGUAAUUGAAAGUAUUCCUGUAAAUUAUUUUAUUAAGUGAAUUUCUAAAAAUAAUUCUUCAUUAGAUGACUGAAAGCAAGUACUGGUCUCUUAAACCAUUUUAUAGUAAAUUAGCACUUACUUCUAAUGAAAAAAUUAGUUAAAAAUAUAACAUUAGUUUGUCAAACUAAAAUUAUUAAUUUAUUAAUAUUUUUUAAUCCCUCAAAUAGCACCAAUUGGUUGAUUAAGCUUAUUUAUUAUUUUUUCAAUUACAUUUGUAAUUUUUAAUGUAAUAAAUUACUAUUCAUAUAUUCCUUCAAUACCUAAAUCAAAUUUAAGUAAUAAAACUCAUUCAACAAAGUCAUUAAAUUGAAAAUGAUAACAAAUUUAUUCUCUGUUUUUGACCCUUCAUCAAGUAUUUUUAAUCUUUCAUUAAAUUGAUUAAGAACUUUUUUAGGAAUUUUAAUGAUUCCAUCAAUAUACUGACUUAUACCAUCUCGAUACCACAUUUUUUGAAAUAAUAUUUUAUUAACACUUCAUAAGGAAUUUAAAACUUUACUUGGUCCUAUAGGAGCAAACGGUUCUACAUUUAUUUUCGUUUCAUUAUUUUCUAUAAUUUUAUUUAAUAAUUUUAUAGGAUUAUUUCCAUAUAUUUUUACAAGAACAAGUCAUUUAACUUUAACUCUAACUUUAGCUCUUCCUUUAUGAUUAUGUUUUAUAUUAUAUGGAUGAAUUAAUAAUACUCAACAUAUAUUUGCUCAUUUAGUUCCUCAAGGAACUCCAGCUAUUUUAAUACCAUUUAUAGUAUGCAUUGAAACUAUUAGUAAUGUAAUUCGACCAGGAACUUUAGCUGUUCGAUUAACAGCUAAUAUAAUUGCUGGACAUCUACUUCUUACUCUUUUAGGAAAUACAGGACCUUCUUUAUCUAUAGUAUUAAUUAGUUUUUUAAUUAUUACACAAAUUGCACUAUUAGUUUUAGAAUCAGCAGUUGCAAUAAUUCAAUCAUACGUAUUUGCUGUUCUAAGAACAUUAUAUUCUAGAGAAGUUAAUUAAUGUCAACACAUUCAAAUCACCCAUUUCAUUUAGUAGACUAUAGUCCAUGACCAUUAACAGCAUCAAUUGGAGCUAUAACAACAGUUGCAGGAAUAGUAAAAUGAUUUCAUCAAUAUGAUAAUUCAUUAUUCUUAUUAGGAAAUGUUAUUACAAUUUUAACUGUGUACCAAUGAUGACGAGAUGUUUCUCGAGAAGGAACAUAUCAAGGUCUUCAUACACUUUCUGUUACUACAGGUUUACGAUGAGGAAUAAUUUUAUUUAUUCUUUCAGAAGUUUUAUUUUUCGUUUCAUUUUUUUGAGCAUUUUUCCAUAGUAGCUUAUCUCCUUCAAUUGAAUUAGGAGCAAUAUGACCACCUUUAGGAAUUACUCCUUUCAAUCCAUUCCAAAUUCCUUUAUUAAAUACUGUAAUUUUACUAACUUCUGGAAUUACUGUAACUUGAACUCAUCAUAGUUUAAUGGAAGGCAAUCAUUCACAAACUACACAAGGAUUAUUUUUUACAGUAUUAUUAGGAAUUUACUUUACAAUUCUUCAAGCUUAUGAAUAUAUUGAAGCUCCAUUCACAAUUGCAGAUUCAGUUUACGGUUCUACUUUCUUUAUAGCAACAGGAUUUCAUGGUCUUCAUGUAUUAAUUGGAACAACUUUUUUAAUUGUUUGUUUAGGUCGACAUUUAAAUAACCACUUUUCAAAAAAUCACCACUUUGGAUUUGAAGCUGCUGCUUGAUAUUGACAUUUUGUUGAUAUUGUUUGAUUAUUCCUUUAUGUAUCUAUUUACUGAUGAGGAGGAUAAUUUAUUA
This is an RNA transcript of Musca domestica (house fly), 5311 nucleotides long. It is a transcript of the gene named NADH-ubiquinone oxidoreductase chain 2-like, with no coding region annotated. The record is from RefSeq and is a predicted model, not a curated record. The transcript has a single exon. Lineage: Eukaryota; Metazoa; Arthropoda; Insecta; Diptera; Muscidae.